Vigna radiata var. radiata (mung bean) is the source of this 523-nucleotide long non-coding RNA. RefSeq lists it as uncharacterized. Lineage: Eukaryota; Viridiplantae; Streptophyta; Magnoliopsida; Fabales; Fabaceae. The transcript has 5 exons. The record is from RefSeq and is a predicted model, not a curated record.
UGAUCACAUCCUUCAAUUUUCCAAGAGAAGCGAACCUUCUAUAUGACUCAGCCUAUGAAACUACUCUAAUUAUACCAAAGGAAUAAUCUGCUUCCAACUUGUGUCAAGCUACAAAUGAGGAGGAAGUCUUCAAAAUUCUAAAUGAAAGAUCCCUUUAUCCUAUAGGAUGGAUUCAUGCAUUUUUUGUCAGGGGAAAUUCCUAUAGAGAAAGAGUUACCACUCUAACAUACCUAGACGAGAAUGAAGGCAGGGAGUGAAAGUGUUGGUACUGGCUGCCUCACCUUUUCAGAUCCAAAGAUUUCUAAUGAAGAGGUUAAGCAUGUUAAGCAUGGAUGAAGUGUAAAACUCCAAAGAUUGAAGAGGUUAAGCAUGUUAAGCAGAUUUCUUAUGAUAUUGUUAUCUCAAUUUUUAUCCUUAAGUUGUUUGUGUAAAUAUAUAAUGUUCUUUAAUUGUGUUAGUAAUUUGAAUUCACUUUUCCAAAUACUUAUUUUUAUGUAUUUAUUAUAUAUUGUAUACAUGUAUU